ACUCCUGCGGGAGGCAGCAGUGGGGAAUUUUGGACAAUGGGCGAAAGCCUGAUCCAGCAAUGCCGCGUGAGUGAAGAAGGCCUUCGGGUUGUAAAGCUCUUUUGUCAGGGAAGAAACGGUGAAAGCUAAUAUCUUUUGCUAAUGACGGUACCUGAAGAAUAAGCACCGGCUAACUACGUGCCAGCAGCCGCGGUAAUACGUAGGGUGCAAGCGUUAAUCGGAAUUACUGGGCGUAAAGCGUGCGCAGGCGGUUUUGUAAGUCUGAUGUGAAAUCCCCGGGCUCAACCUGGGAAUUGCAUUGGAGACUGCAAGGCUAGAAUCUGGCAGAGGGGGGUAGAAUUCCACGUGUAGCAGUGAAAUGCGUAGAUAUGUGGAGGAACACCGAUGGCGAAGGCAGCCCCCUGGGUCAAGAUUGACGCUCAUGCACGAAAGCGUGGGGAGCAAACAGGAUUAGAUACCCGUGUAGUCC
Molecule: ribosomal RNA, 469 nt
Filed under: uncultured organism
Description: partial 16S ribosomal RNA
Rfam family: Bacterial small subunit ribosomal RNA
Source: RNAcentral